This 471-nucleotide ribosomal RNA is filed under the name Veillonella parvula. RNAcentral's name for it is "bacterial SSU rRNA". It matches the Rfam family "Bacterial small subunit ribosomal RNA", at positions 28 to 487 of the family's 1533-position model. Lineage: Bacteria; Bacillati; Bacillota; Negativicutes; Veillonellales; Veillonellaceae. The record is from RNAcentral.
GACGAACGCUGGCGGCGUGCUUAACACAUGCAAGUCGAACGAAGAGCGACGGAAGCUUGCUUCUAUCAAUCUUAGUGGCGAACGGGUGAGUAACGCGUAAUCAACCUGCCCUUCAGAGGGGGACAACAGUUGGAAACGACUGCUAAUACCGCAUACGAUCUAAUCUCGGCAUCGAGGAUAGAUGAAAGGUGGCCUCUACAUGUAAGCUAUCACUGAAGGAGGGGAUUGCGCCUGAUUAGCUAGUUGGAGGGGUAACGGCCCACCAAGGCGAUGAUCAGUAGCCGGUCUGAGAGGAUGAACGGCCACAUUGGGACUGAGACACGGCCCAGACUCCUACGGGAGGCAGCAGUGGGGAAUCUUCCGCGAUGGACGAAAGUCUGACGGAGCAACGCCGCGUGAGUGAUGACGGCCUUCGGGUUGUAAAGCUCUGUUAAUCGGGACGAAAAGGCCUUCUUGCGAAACAAGUAGAAA